GCUGAGCACAAUGUAGGCGCUCUAAGACUAAUGAAAGAAUCAAAUCAGGUGUGUGAGUGAUUCAGCAAGAAGUUGAAUUAGAGCCAGCUGCUUCGUCUGAGUUGGGUUAAGUCAGAGGGGGAGGGUUGAUAUUGGGUAAUCAGAACAAAACGAGCUGGAGGGCCAGCCACCUGCUUAGUCGGAGUAAGAAUGCCUGCAGAGACCUGGACCAGAGUGGGCAGAAUGGAGUCACCAUGAAUAUAUGCACCAAGGGAAUGAACACACAAAUUAAAAGGCUGGAGUAUAGUGGUGCGAUCAUAGCUAGCUGCAGCCUUGAACUCCUCCUCAAGCAAUCCUUCCUCCUUGGCCUCGCAAAGUCCUGGGAUUACAGGCGUGAGCUACUGGGCCUGACCUACAAAAUGUUUUAUGCUUUCGCCUAUUAUAGGAGACAUAUUGCUCACCCUUCACGAGAGGUCAAACACCUGAGUUAAAUUUUGGAAAGCUUCUAUAUACCUAUCAGGAUCUUCAGAAAAUCAGACUAAGCCUCCUUUUAUUUGCCUAAGGACCUGCAAUGAGAAGGGAACUUGAACCCUAGUGGCAUCACCUCCAUUGGGAAUUUCCUAUAGGGGGCCUAAAUAGUGUUCCUUGGAGAGAAAAUUACCCUGGGAAUGAAUAAACAAGAGCAAUGCAAAUGUUUCUUUUACAUUAGAUUCUUGCAGCCCUGGAAAUCCUAAAUAAUAAUCAUGGCAAUACUACAUUUAUAAGACUAAAAGAUAGGAACUCAAGAAAAAUUUGGUCAUAGCAGUUGGUGAAAAAGUGAAUUUAAGAGAAGUGACAAAAAGAACUACUUGGGAUAUCCACGACUGUUACAGAUGCUUCGUGGAGGUUCAAAAAGACUACAGAUCAAGGCCAGUGACCUUCUACACAUGGUGGACACUCCAGCCUCUGCUCAAUCUCCAUCCACACUUAAAGGAAAUAGCCAACUCUUGGCCAACCUUCAGGCCUGGGAAGAGGCUCAAGCAGACACUGAAGACGGACUUAAGGCUAUACGAUGUCCGGAAGUGGUGGGUUCUUGGUCUCACUGACUUCAAAAAUGAAGACGAAGACGUGGACUCUGGCGUGAACCCAGGAUGAAGGAGUGUUUCGACUCAUCUGACUCAUUAUGCCUUCUUUGCCCUGGAUCUUACACAGAAAUGCUCUCCAUACCUUGCCACUGCUGCUGGGAAGGAACAGGGGAGGAGUGACAUUGAGAUUCAAGACUAUUUUUCCUACCUCUUCAGUGCCUCUUUCAGCCAUAUGAAGUUAAAACCAGGUAAUGUGAGUGCUGAUCUGAUUUCUGAUUCAUUUGAAGGUGCUUUUUCUAUGUGUAGAUAGUUGUUAAAUUGAUAUCUUUGGGGGGUGACAAGCAGUAAAGCCUUCUAUUCUGCCAUCUGGCUCUACUCCUGUCUCUCAAUAAUUGCUUAUGGAUUAGGAGCUGAGGCACAGCUUUGGUGGAUCAUUUCCUCAAAAUCUUAAACAGUUAUAAUUAAGCUGUUGGUGAGAAUUGUAGGGUCAUGUAAGGCUCAGCAUCCUCUCCCACACUCAUAGGGGGUCCUAUUAGUAGAAUUCAGCUUCUUGCAGCUGUAGGACUGAGACCCUCAGUCUCCAGAGGCUGCCCCUCUGCACAGGCAGUUCACAACAUGGCUGUUUGCUUUCAUCCUUGAACCCUGCAGGAAAGUAAUCUUUCAGUCUCUUUUAAGGGACUCCCCAGAUUAGGUCAAACCAAUGCAAAAUAAUCUGUGGUUGAAUAACUAAAAGCCAACUAAUAUGGACCUUUAUUGAAUCUCCAAAAUUUCUUCACCUUUGCAAUGUAACUUAAUCACAAGAGAGAAACACAUCAUUUUCACAGGUCUCACCCGCACUUAAUUAUGGGAGGGGAUUAUAUAUAAGGUGUAUGCCAUGGGUUAUUUUGGGACCAGCUUAGAAUUCUGUGCACAGACUGUUUUGCCAUAUACCAAAAGAUUAGCCCAGAGUCAUUUAAAUUUUUUGGGGGGUGGAUAGGGGGAAUAUCGGUGAUGGAAAGAAC
This 2044-nucleotide long non-coding RNA is filed under the name Homo sapiens (human). RNAcentral describes it as "HSALNT0163027". The record is from RNAcentral. Lineage: Eukaryota; Metazoa; Chordata; Mammalia; Primates; Hominidae.